RNAcentral lists this long non-coding RNA (1092 nucleotides) under Marmota monax (woodchuck). The record is from RNAcentral. Lineage: Eukaryota; Metazoa; Chordata; Mammalia; Rodentia; Sciuridae.
UUGAUAAUCUCUUCCAAAAGUACUUGGUGCUUGCUAGAUGUUGAGGGACUGAAUCAUGUUAAAUUUACAAAUAGUUGAUUUGGGGGCUAUAAGAAAUUUAUUUCUGUAUGCUGAUAGGCUGUACCAUUCCAGUAACUGAAGUAUUUAUUUCCAAUAAUCCAGGGGCACCUCUUUGGGUAUUGAGGUGCCUGGAGAGAGCAAAAUCAGGAUGGAGAGGUUGGGCAGUGAGCACAGAAUCAAAACAAAGCUAAUUACAAAAUCUCAGGGGAGAUGCUGACUAGACUAAUGCAAAUUUGGGAAAUCAUUCUUGUGUUUCCUGGUUGUCUUCCUGGGGACAGGAGCGACCUGCUGCUGAACGCAGGGCCUCUCUCUGAAGAUGCCACCUCACCUCCUCUCGCGGGGCCAUCAGAGAGAUUGUCACUUCCCCUCCAUUACUACAUCAUGGUCUGAGAUUGUUUUAGUCAGCUUUGUUGAUGCUGCGACUAAAAGACCCAACCAGAACAAUUGUAGAGGAGGAAAAGUUUAUUGAGGGCUCACAGUUUCAGAGGUCUUAGUCCAUAGAAGGCCAGCUCCAUUCCUCGGGGUCGAGGUGAGGCUGAACAUUAUGGCAGAAGAGUUGGUGGAGGGAAGCAGCUCACAUGGUGAUCAGAAAGCAAAGUGAGAUUCCAGUGGCUGGAAACAAAUAUAUACCCCAAGCCACGACCCAAUUCCCACUUCCUCUAGCCACACCCCACCACUUCAGUUACCACUCAGUUACUCCCUAUCAGGGGAUUAAGUCACAGAUUGGGAUAAGAGUCUCAUAACACAAUCAUUUCUCCUCUGAACCUUCUUGCAUUGUCUUAUAUGUGAGUUUUGGGGGACACCACAUCUAAACCAUACAGGGGUAGAAUCCCAAACAUCUUGAUCCUAGCAAUGUCUUAUCUACAAAUGAACCUUGAGGAUGCCCCACCCACGGGCCUUUGAGAGCACACUGAAUCCAGGCCACUAUAUGGUCCCUCAACCCAGCAUCUAAGUAGCUCUAAAAGGAGUAGAAAGUUAACACCUUAAAAUGAGAUUACAUUGGUUCCAUCAUGAAUUUAGGAUAAAGAUGCC